Molecule: ribosomal RNA, 253 nt
Filed under: uncultured bacterium
Lineage: Bacteria
Description: partial 16S ribosomal RNA
Rfam family: Bacterial small subunit ribosomal RNA
Source: RNAcentral
UACGAAGGGGGCUAGCGUUGUUCGGAAUAACUGGGCGUAAAGCGCACGUAGGCGGAUUGUUAAGUCGGGGGUGAAAUCCCGGGGCUCAACCCCGGAACUGCCUUCGAUACUGGCAAUCUUGAGUCCGAGAGAGGUGAGUGGAAUUCCGAGUGUAGAGGUGAAAUUCGUAGAUAUUCGGAGGAACACCAGUGGCGAAGGCGGCUCACUGGCUCGGUACUGACGCUGAGGUGCGAAAGCGUGGGGAGCAAACAGG